RNAcentral lists this ribosomal RNA (460 nucleotides) under uncultured bacterium. RNAcentral's name for it is "partial 16S ribosomal RNA". It matches the Rfam family "Bacterial small subunit ribosomal RNA", at positions 338 to 795 of the family's 1533-position model. The record is from RNAcentral.
CCUACGGGAGGCAGCAGUGAGGAAUAUUGGUCAAUGGACGGAAGUCUGAACCAGCCAUGCCGCGUGCAGGAAGACGGCCCUAUGGUUUGUAAACUUCUUUUGUAUGGGAGUAAGCUUUUCCACGUGUGUUCUUCUGUAUGUACCUUACGAAUAAGGAUCGGCUAACUCCGUGCCAGCAGCCGCGGUAAUACGGAGGAUCCGAGCGUUAUCCGGAUUUAUUGGGUUUAAAGGGAGCGUAGGUGGAUUGUUAAGUUAGUUGUGAAAUGUCCGGGCUCAACCGUGGAACUGCAGUUGAUACUGGUAGGCUUGAGUGUAGUAGAGGUGGGCGGAAUUCGUGGUGUAGCGGUGAAAUGCUUAGAGAUCACGAAGAACACCGAUUGCGAAGGCAGCUCACUGGACUAAAACUGACGCUGAGGCGCGAAAGCGUGGGGAGCAAACAGGAUUAGAUACCCGUGUAGUC